AAAAAGAAAGAGAAAGUGGAGGGGACGGUAGAUACAUAUGUUGAUUUUUCUCGUUUCAGCCGCCCAUGCCCAUCCCAAUCCUCACAGCCAGUCUCUAGUUUCUUCUCCUCUCCUCUUCUCUCGUUUCUUCCUGUGCUGCCUCUUAUCACCCUUCUCACCUCCUUCAAUGGCCAGAUCUGAUCAGGUGAGGUCAAAUCCGAUGAGGAGAAGUAACUGAAAGGGAGAGGUGGAACCUGAGGGAAACUUCUCUCUCAGCAUGGGGUCCAUAUUCCCCUCCUCACCGCUGCUCCUUUCUUCGGCAUGGUCGGCGAUGUCGUAGCCGCCGGAUCCGGCUAUCUCUAUCGAGUCCAGUCGCUUUUUGGCGAGGCGCUGCCGCGACCGCCGCCGGAUCGGGGUCGUCCAUCGCCGUCGCGAGCGCCGUGUGGCUCUCACGUCGUUGGGGGCUGCCGAAGCCGAGCGGGGAAGCACGUGCGCGAUCUCCGGUUAGUUGAAGAGGACGGGGGUGGCGCGGCCCUUGAUGGCACGGCGGUGGCAAACGUGCAGAGCCAGAUGCGCGAGUUCUUGCGCAGCUCUCAGAUCUCCGACACCCACUUGCCCCAACUCCACAUGCUGCUGCUAGAUCCAACGGGCGGCGAGCUUCGUCGGUGGAGAGCUUUUGCGCCGACUGCUCGAGCAUCCAGCAAAAUGUAAGGUGGAGGUGGUGCGGUGGUUGGGUCACGGAUCGGCCAGGGUGGCGAGCCUGGGGGAAUUGGCAGGCAGGCAAAGGAGGGAAAGACGGGCCAAACAUUAAAAAAAAAUAAAGGUUGCCAGUGGAAGAAAACAAACUGUAGAAGGCAAAUCCGGUGACUUGGAGCUGCUAAGGGGCUGUUUGGUUUCCAGGGACUUAUUCCAAGUCCAUGUCACAUCGGAUAUUUGGACACUAAUUUGGAGUAUUAAACAUACAUUAAUUACAAAACCUAUUCCAUAAGCUUGGACUAAUUCGCGAGACGAAUCUUUUGAGUCUAAUUAUGUCAUGAUUUUGACAAUGUGAUGCUACAGUAAACUUUUGAUAAUUAUGGAUUAAUUAGGCUUAAAAAAAUCGUCUCGCGGAUUAGCUCUCAUUUAUGAAAUUAGUUUUUUUAUUAGUCUAUGUUUAAUACUCUAAAUUAGCGUUCAAACAUCUGAUGUGACUUGGGCUAAAAAGUUUUAGCCCCAUCUAAACACCCCCUAAGCAAAUCCGGCGACUUUUGCUAUCUCGCUGUUCUGAUUGCCAGCAAAUUUGAUGAUUUGGAGCUGCUAAGCAAAUCCGGCGACUUCUGCUAUCUCGCUGUUCUGAUUGCCAGCAAAUUUGAUGAUUGCCACUGGUUGCAUGUUGUUUGCUAUUGACUUGAUUUGUUGUUGGCUGUGGGAUGUGAAUCCGAUCGUCAAAGCAGUCGGUUUCGGUGACAGUCAUAGCAGUCGGUUUCGGUGAAUAAUAGCAGUAGUUUGGAAAAGUUUUGGCUAUAGGAAUCUUUGCAUGUCAAUCCGUGUGCUACACUGUUUCAGUGAAAAGUAGUAGUAUUUUUAUGUCGUGCUAUGAGUAGUACUCCCUCCCUCCGUAUAAGCAUAUUUUCAAAUCUGAAAAUUCUAUGAAAAUUCUAUUUUUGAUAAGCAUAUUUCAAUUUAACAAUCUAUCAUCUUAAUGACUUUCUCGGAUUUAAUGUAUGACUCUCCAUUCUUCUAUACAAGAUUGGCUACUUGAGCAUCGUGAAAUGUAAAUAUUAAUGAAUCGCAUGUUUACGAAGAAUGACUAGGAGCAUGUUUAAAUGGAUGGUAAAUAGAAUUAAUUAUCAUUGGUCUGUGUGCCAAGAUGAAAUAAGAGCUCCCAAUUCCAUAAAGGCUAUAGAAAACCGUGUAAUACACCUUUUCUACCUUUGGACUUUUAAAUGGUUCUGACUUUUACCUUGUCCGACUUGUCCGAUUUCUGCUAUAUACUCUGUAAAACUCUGAUUAAAUCUUUACCGUUAAAAUCUAGAUCUAUUAUUAUCCAAUCGUUAAAAUCUUUUUCUUUUUUUUUCGAUUAACUUGGGAAUUUAUUCCCCACAUAGAACGUGGUGUCUCCUUUCAAGACUGUUUUAAUAAUAUAAUAGAUAGAUAGAUUAAACUGCUUGGGGAAAUACUAGUGAUGUGAUGGAGACGUGGUACGUACCUUGCUAGUUUUCACAAAUAUUCCGUACAUAUAAGUAGGUUUUAAAUAGGGAUUUACUUUGAUGAGAGAUGUGUUGCUGGUUUCUAUCUCUUCGAGAGUGUGUUAGGGUGGAAGGUGAAUUCACGGGUGCGAGACUGUGAUGUUGCAUAUGCAGUGACGUGUGUGCUUGUGAUCUGUCUGCCGUGAUUAUAUUGAUCCAUUGAGACUCACGGUCAAUCACACCUUGCCUAUUUCCGUGCGUGCGACGCACUGUACGCACACCUUGUCUCCUCCUUUUGCUGCCCCUCCCCUCCUAUUCUCUUUUUUAUUUUUAAGCAAUUAUUUUUUAUCAAGAAAUCAACGGUUCGAUGGGUUCAAAAUAAUUACUAUAGUUCUAAAUUUAAUUUGUAAGCAAACGAUCAGAUCAAGAAAAUCAUCCGUCGAUAAAUAGAGCAGUUCUACGGUUCUACCCACUGUUGUAUCAAUAUAAGCGAUGCAAGCAACUUCCAGCUUGUUUGAUCUCGCACCUUGCUGUGCUGGUCACUUUGAUUCCACGUAGUAGUAGUAGUACAGCAAGGCUAUCUUUGAUUUCAUAUAAAUUUCUUGAAGCUUUUGGAAAAUAAAUUAAUUAAUUUAGGCAUUUGGGUUAUCAGGUGGGUUUUAAGCGAGCGUGCCCUACCUAUUCCUACUUAUGUGCCUCCCUACUUUUACACGCUAAUAAGUCUUAAGUUAUACAAUUAAAAACUCAGUUUUGAAUAUAUUUUAAAUCAUAAAAAAUAUAAUUUUAGGGGAACAAUAUUAUAGUACAUACUAAAAAAAUAUAUUAAACUUCUUACAAACGUUUUCAAACUGUCACGUGAUGUUCUACAAACACUUCUAGACGUCAUGUGGCGCUCUAAUUAAAAAUAAUCUAAACAUUGAUUUUUCUUCAAAUUGGUGGACCAAAUAAUUUUAACUAUUAGAUCUUAAAAAAAAUCUGGCUCCCCCACCUCCACCCCCACCGUAUGUGACCAUGCAUGUACAUGCUCCACCCUCCUACUCUCCUCUAGGAUCCCAUUGUCCUCUCCUAUUUUCUAGCUAACACAAAAAUAUAUAAAAAAUAACAAUAGCUAAAUGAUGAUGAUUCUCAAGUUACAUGUACUUUUCUCAAUUUAUUUGAUUUCUUGUGUUAUUGAUAAUUAAAUACAUAAUCCAAGAGAUAUAUUGCCCAUAUUAACUAUAUAAAAGUUACGGCCUCAUCUUUUCGCUUAUGCUUAUUAGCUAAAAUUUAAAUUUUUAACCUUAAAUUUGGAGUUAAUUUUGUGGUUUUCUAUCUAAGUUUAUUUUUCAAUAUUUGUUUUUUGAUCGCUAAGAACAUGUAUAUAAAAAUUUUUCAUAAAUUAUUUUUUGUUUGCAAAUAUGUUGUUUAACAUGGGACCGUUAGAUAAUUUGGUUGUUUUGACUACAAAUAUUUGAGCAAAAUAGCACUUUAAAAACAAUGAAUGAAUUCAAAUAUGUGAGUCUAAAGUCCAGGUUCAAUCACCACCAAGGAGCUUGGAACCAUGAUAUAUACUCUAAACCCGAUGGAAGCGGAGCUACAAGACAUUAUUAGCCAGAUAGACACCGACGACAGCGGUAGCAUUGACUUCCACGAGUUUCUAGGCCUAAUGGCAUGCAAAAGGACAAGUAUUGAGAGGAGGGGCAGAGGGAGAUGUUCCGAGUCUUCGGCAAGGAGUAGAAAAUGGCUUCAUCUCUAACGCCAAGCUCAGUCACGUCAUGUCCAAUGUAUCAGGAGAGGCUCACUAAUGAGGAGGUCGACGAGAUGAUCCACGAGACCGAUGGUAGCAAGCGUAUCAACUACAAGGAGUUUGUAUGUAAAUUCAUAGCAAAAAAAACAAGCAAAUUGAUUAAAAUAUACACUAAAAAAUCAUUAAAACUAUAAAAAUACAACAAGAUUUCAUGUAGAAUAUAAAAUAUCAAGAGUCCAUAUAAAUAGCUAAAAUUUGGAAUAAUAAAAUAAGUAUUAAAAGAAAACUCCAAACACAACACGAUACACACUUUAAAAUCCCUAAAAAGACAAUUUAGAAUAAAACAAUAAUUUGAUUUGAAUACAUAUUUGAAAUUAGACUUAAUCACUAAAUUCGAAAUACAGUAAAUAUUUUUUUAAGAACUUUUCUAUCUCUAUGCAUAACGAAUUGCAUAUAUAUGAAGCAAUUGAAGAUAGGGUUAGCAGGGUGGGAAAAUAUAUUUAUUAUAGUUUGUUGAUAUUUCUUCAAAAAAAAAAGAUGCAAGGAACACUCAAUUAAAAAUAGAAAACACCUUAUUUUAAUUUCAAUUUAUUUUGUUAGAACUAUUUUCAAAACAAACUAAUACACAUGCCCGCGCGAAUGCGCGGGCUAUCUUCCUAAUUACUCACUCCUUCCCAAAUUGAUCAUCAUAUAAUGAAAUCCAAAAUUUCUCAAAUUGAUAAUUAUAUAACCGCAUGGAUACGGAUUUUAAUGGAAUACAAUAAAUGUAGUAAGAGAAAAUGUGUACAUGCUAAGCGUGUAAUUGACAUGUUGUUUUAAUCGAUGCAUGUAUUGUGGGAGAAUAUGUACAUGGUGU
Long non-coding RNA from Oryza sativa Japonica Group (Japanese rice), 4729 nucleotides. RefSeq lists it as uncharacterized. Lineage: Eukaryota; Viridiplantae; Streptophyta; Magnoliopsida; Poales; Poaceae. The record is from RefSeq and is a predicted model, not a curated record.